GAAGCGCGAACCAAGCGGGCGCGUCAAAGCGCUGUGAGACUUGGAGCGGGCGACCGCAAGGGCGUCCUGCA
Molecule: non-coding RNA, 71 nt
Submitted as: unclassified sequences
Source: Rfam